UAAGGAAUAUUGCGCAAUGGGCGACAGCCUGACGCAGCGACGCCGCGUGGGGGAUGAAGGUCUUCGGAUUGUAAACCCCUUUCGGCAGGGAAGAUGGAACGGGUAACCGUUCGGACGGUACCUGCAGAAGCAGCCACGGCUAACUUCGUGCCAGCAGCCGCGGUAAUACGAAGGUGGCAAGCGUUGUUCGGAUUUACUGGGCGUACAGGGAGCGUAGGCGGUUGGGUAAGCCCUCCGUGAAAUCUCCGGGCCUAACCCGGAAAGUGCGGAGGGGACUGCUCGGCUAGAGGAUGGGAGAGGAGCGCGGAAUUCCCGGUGUAGCGGUGAAAUGCGUAGAGAUCGGGAGGAAGGCCGGUGGCGAAGGCGGCGCUCUGGAACAUAUCUGACGCUGAGGCUCGAAAGCGUGGGGAGCAAACAGG
RNAcentral lists this ribosomal RNA (419 nucleotides) under uncultured Nitrospira sp. RNAcentral describes it as "bacterial SSU rRNA". It matches the Rfam family "Bacterial small subunit ribosomal RNA", at positions 355 to 776 of the family's 1533-position model. Lineage: Bacteria; Pseudomonadati; Nitrospirota; Nitrospiria; Nitrospirales; Nitrospiraceae. The record is from RNAcentral.